UGCAGUCGAGCGUGAAGGUCUUCGGACUGAGUAAAGCGGCGGACGGGUGAGUAACGCGUAGGAAUCUACCCAGUGGUGGGGGACAACUCGGGGAAACUCGAGCUAAUACCGCAUACGCCCUACGGGGGAAAGCGGGGGAUCCGAUCUUUCGAGAAAGGACCUCGCGCCAUUGGAUGAGCCUGCGUCGGAUUAGCUAGUUGGUGGGGUAAAGGCCUACCAAGGCGACGAUCCGUAGCUGGUCUGAGAGGACGAUCAGCCACACUGGGACUGAGACACGGCCCAGACUCCUACGGGAGGCAGCAGUGGGGAAUAUUGCGCAAUGGGGGAAACCCUGACGCAGCCAUGCCGCGUGUGUGAAGAAGGCUCUAGGGUUGUAAAGCACUUUCAAUUGGGAGAAAAAGCCGUCGGCUAAUACCCGCCGGUCUUGAUGUUACCUUUAGAAGAAGCACCGGCUAACUCCGUGCCAGCAGCCGCGGUA
RNAcentral lists this ribosomal RNA (478 nucleotides) under uncultured bacterium. RNAcentral describes it as "bacterial SSU rRNA". It matches the Rfam family "Bacterial small subunit ribosomal RNA", at positions 56 to 522 of the family's 1533-position model. The record is from RNAcentral.